Molecule: unclassified non-coding RNA, 503 nt
Filed under: uncultured Marinobacter sp.
Lineage: Bacteria; Pseudomonadati; Pseudomonadota; Gammaproteobacteria; Pseudomonadales; Marinobacteraceae
Description: partial 16S-23S ribosomal RNA intergenic spacer
Rfam family: tRNA (bases 120-193)
Source: RNAcentral
CCUCCUUAACGAAAGCUGGAGGUUUCGGUCAGAGUCCACACGAAUUACUUGGUUAACGUGAAGAGAGCAAAAGGGUCUUUGCAGGCCCGACUGGUCUUGUCGAACCGACAAGCAAAACCGGGUCUGUAGCUCAGGUGGUUAGAGCGCACCCCUGAUAAGGGUGAGGUCGGUGGUUCAAGUCCACCCAGACCCACCAGAAUCGAUCAGCUCGUCGUUGCGCCAAGACUCGCAUACUGAUUGUAUGCUUCNCCUUGACGCGCCUAAAUCUGACCGAUUUUCCGAGUAAGGCUUAAGGUGACUGCCUGCUUGGUGAGUGGUUUCUAUUCGGGGCCAUAACUCAACUGGGAAAGCGCCUGCCUUGCACGCAGGAGGUCGGCGGUUCCAUCCCGCCUGGCUCCCCAACUACCCUGAUGUUUGCUGACAAAAUGAAGUGUGCAAAAACAAGCGUUUCACUUUGAUGAAGCUCUUCUUUUCUGAUCACUGGGUCAAAAUUGCUCUUUAAA